GCCUGCGUAAGCUAACUGGAUAGGCUGCCGCGACCCUAACGCGGCCAGCGAGGUUCAAAUCCUCGCGCGGGCACCA
This 76-nucleotide transfer RNA is filed under the name Patescibacteria group bacterium. RNAcentral describes it as "tRNA-Arg". The record is from RNAcentral.